UAGGGAAUCUUCGGCAAUGGACGAAAGUCUGACCGAGCAACGCCGCGUGAGUGAAGAAGGUUUUCGGAUCGUAAAACUCUGUUGUUAGAGAAGAACAAGGACGUUAGUAACUGAACGUCCCCUGACGGUAUCUAACCAGAAAGCCACGGCUAACUACGUGCCAGCAGCCGCGGUAAUACGUAGGUGGCAAGCGUUGUCCGGAUUUAUUGGGCGUAAAGCGAGCGCAGGCGGUUUCUUAAGUCUGAUGUGAAAGCCCCCGGCUCAACCGGGGAAGGUCAUUGGAAACUGGGAGACUUGAGUGCAGAAGAGGAGAGUGGAAUUCCAUGUGUAGCGGUGAAAUGCGUAGAUAUAUGGAGGAACACCAGUGGCGAAGGCGGCUCUCUGGUCUGUAACUGACGCUGAGGCUAGAAAGCGUGGGGAGCAAACAGG
This 429-nucleotide ribosomal RNA is filed under the name Gemmatimonadota bacterium. RNAcentral's name for it is "Gemmatimonadetes bacterium partial 16S ribosomal RNA". It matches the Rfam family "Bacterial small subunit ribosomal RNA", at positions 355 to 776 of the family's 1533-position model. The record is from RNAcentral. Lineage: Bacteria; Pseudomonadati; Gemmatimonadota.